CGGCUAAAACUCUUCUCGCUAGGCCCUCUAUAGAGAUUAAGUAAGUUAAAGUCUAUAUAUAAAUAUAGACUUACCUUUAUUUAUAGUUUUACCUUAAUUAUAUAUUUAAGGCCUAAUAUACUUAUAUAAAAUAGAUCUAUAACUUUAGGAAAAGGAUUAGCUCUAAGGGUUAAGUAUAUAGCGCCUUAGGUAGAUACUAUAGGGGUAAGCUACUUUUAGCUAAGUAACUAGCCAGCGGCGUCUAAUAUCUAUAUAUUAAUACCUUUAAGAGGCUUUAGCUAUUUAAUAUAUAAUUAAUAACUAACUUAAAAUUAAUAUAGAUAAAGGAAAUCUAACUAUAUAAUUAAAAUAUAGUAUUAUAAUACCUAGAAAGUAAUAUUAAUAUAAUAUAAUUUCUAUUUAAUACUCUAAAUAUUAAAGUAAAGUAAUUUAAUUAAGUAUAAGUAAAUAGCGUAAGUAACUAUAACUUAAAAUUAGCGAGCUAGGGACCGCUAGAGGUCUCCCCUUUAGAGAGUUAAGUAAUAUAAAAGGCACUUACUAAUAAGGUAGCCCGCAUUAUAUAGGCCCCUAUAAUACUAUUAAAUUCUAGGAAAUCCCUAAAGCUUAUAUUAUAAAGUAGCUACUAAAAGGGAGGCUAUAGCUAGGGUAAUAACCUAGGGUAUAAUAAAAAUAUAUAAAAUAUAAUAAUAGAUAAUCUAUAGCUAAGCUUUAAGUUAAAGCCCCCGCUAGGGGCGCGGAUAUAAAUAUAAUUUAAUAACUUAAUAAUAAUAGGUUCUAGUGAGAAUAUAUAUUAUAUACCUCACUAGGGCUUAAGAUAUAGUCUAGCCUUCUAUAAAAUUAAAAGGGUUAAUACUCUUAAGGUAGCUAAAUACCUUAUUAUCUAAUUAAUAAUAUAUAUAAAUAGAUUAAUAAGAUUCCUAUUAUGUCUAUUUACUAUCUAGCGAAACUAUUAUUAAGGGAAUAAACUUAAUAGAAUUAAUAGGGAAAGAAGGCUUUAUUAAGCUUAACUCUAAUUUAAUAUUAUAAAAAGAUAUAGGAGGUAUAAAAUAAGUAAAAGCUUUAGCGCUAAUAAAAUCUUAUAACUCUUAUUAUUUUUUUACUUAAUUAAUAAAAUAGGGCCAGAUUUUUAUUUAAUUUCUAAUUUUAAGGUCUUUCGCGGUCUAAUUUAAGUUAAAGAUAUUAUUAAGUAAGGAGUUUAGCUAGGGCGGUAUAUCUAUUAAACUAUAAUAUAAGUAUCCUAAAGGGGGCUUAUAAAAAAUAGAAAUCUCUAGUAGAAUAAAAAGGUAAAAGUCCCCUUAAUUUUAAUCUUAAAUAUAAAUAUAAACUAUAAAAGUAGAGCCUAUUAAUCCUUUAGUCCCUUAAUAUUUAAGGCUAGAGGUAUUAAAAAAGUUAUUAUAGAGAUAAUUAGCUUAUAGCGGUUAAAUAUUUAUAGUAAUAUCGCUUUUUAAUCCUUUAAUAUUAACUCUUCCUAUUAUACUAAAGUAGAAUUUAAUAAAUAUUAAAUUAUUUAUCUAUUAAAUACCUUCUACUAAUAGGGAUAAUUAAGUCACUGAGGCUCUUAAGUAAUUACGCUAGCUAGUUAAUUAUAGCGACUAACCUAUAGGAGCUAUAUAAUAAUAUAAUUUAAAUUAAGGGAGGCUAUAGCGCCGCGAGGUAUUAUAUUAAUCCUAAGUAGGGCUAUAGUUAAAGUAAUCCUAUUAUAGUAGCUUAUAUAGAGCGCGGAAAGGUAUAGGCAGGCCUUAUAAAGGACUACUUAAGGGAUAUAUUAGACCCUCGGGAAACUAAGACCGCUGGAUAAGCGCCUAUAGCAUAAAUCCGCUAGGGGGCGACUAAGCUCGGGAGGAAAUACCUAAAGCGAGCCUUAGUAUUACUUUAAAUAGGAAAUAUACGCUAGGUUUAGACCGUUAUAAGAUAGGUUAGUUUUAGUCUAUUAAUAAUAUCGCGGUAAUAGUAAUUUAGCUUAAUAUAAAAGAAACUAUUAAUUUAGAUAAUUAGUUUUUAUAGCUAUCUAACUAAGUAAUACCGUAAAGCUAUUAUUUAUUACAUAAUAGGUAAAUACCUUUAAGUUAGAAUUUAUAUUAAAAGGCAAUCAUACUACCUAUAUAUAGAGAUAGAUAAAAAUAAGCCUUAGCUUAGCGUCUUAAUAGGCGAUUUUUCAAUAGUACUUAAAGUAUAUUAUAAUAUUUUAUAUAUUAUAAUUUU
This 2202-nucleotide ribosomal RNA is filed under the name Fusarium brasiliense. RNAcentral describes it as "eukaryotic LSU rRNA". It matches the Rfam family "Eukaryotic large subunit ribosomal RNA", at positions 1890 to 3399 of the family's 3401-position model. Lineage: Eukaryota; Fungi; Ascomycota; Sordariomycetes; Hypocreales; Nectriaceae. The record is from RNAcentral.